AAAAGGGAUAGAAUAGUCCUUUUCAAUUAAUAUAAGGGGUAAAAUAGGAAAGAAUCAAAAGAUAAUGGCAUAGUUGUAGAUGCAUUGAAGUGGUAAGGGUAAAAUUGGAAGGAAUCAAAAGUUAAUGGCAUAAUUGCAGAUAUAUCGAAGUGGCAAGGGCAAAAUGGGAAAUUAAUAAUAUUAAAAAAGGGUGAAUAGUGUUUUGAUGUGAUUUAAUUGGAGGGUUUG
RNAcentral lists this long non-coding RNA (228 nucleotides) under Phoenix dactylifera (date palm). Its description in RNAcentral is "long non-coding RNA (PDAC_LNC012442)". Lineage: Eukaryota; Viridiplantae; Streptophyta; Magnoliopsida; Arecales; Arecaceae. The record is from RNAcentral.